UGAAAGAUAGAUAGAUGAUAGGUACAUAGAU
Molecule: non-coding RNA, 31 nt
Filed under: Rattus norvegicus (Norway rat)
Lineage: Eukaryota; Metazoa; Chordata; Mammalia; Rodentia; Muridae
Source: RNAcentral